RNAcentral lists this ribosomal RNA (260 nucleotides) under Clostridioides difficile. RNAcentral describes it as "partial 23S ribosomal RNA". It matches the Rfam family "Bacterial large subunit ribosomal RNA", at positions 1 to 261 of the family's 2925-position model. Lineage: Bacteria; Bacillati; Bacillota; Clostridia; Peptostreptococcales; Peptostreptococcaceae. The record is from RNAcentral.
GGUCAAGUUAUUAAGGGUGCAGGGCGGAUGCCUUGGCACUAGGAGCCGAUGAAGGACGUGAUAAGCUGCGAUAAGCUUCGGGGAGUUGCACGUAAACUUUGAUCCGAAGAUUUCCGAAUGAGGAAACUCACUUAGAGUAAUGUCUAAGUAUCAUUAAGUGAAUACAUAGCUUAAUGAGGGGAACUCAGGGAACUGAAACAUCUAAGUACCUGAAGGAAGAGAAAGAAAUUCGAUUCCGUAAGUAGCGGCGAGCGAACGCG